RNAcentral lists this ribosomal RNA (2930 nucleotides) under Bacillus velezensis. RNAcentral's name for it is "23S ribosomal RNA". It matches the Rfam family "Bacterial large subunit ribosomal RNA". Lineage: Bacteria; Bacillati; Bacillota; Bacilli; Caryophanales; Bacillaceae. The record is from RNAcentral.
GGUUAAGUUAGAAAGGGCGCACGGUGGAUGCCUUGGCACUAGGAGCCGAUGAAGGACGGGACGAACACCGAUAUGCUUCGGGGAGCUGUAAGCAAGCUUUGAUCCGGAGAUUUCCGAAUGGGGAAACCCACCACUCGUAAUGGAGUGGUAUCCAUAUCUGAAUACAUAGGAUAUGAGAAGGCAGACCCGGGGAACUGAAACAUCUAAGUACCCGGAGGAAGAGAAAGCAAAUGCGAUUCCCUGAGUAGCGGCGAGCGAAACGGGACCAGCCCAAACCAAGAGGCUUGCCUCUUGGGGUUGUAGGACACUCUGUACGGAGUUACAAAGGAACGAGGUAGAUGAAGAGGUCUGGAAAGGCCCGCCAUAGAAGGUAACAGCCCUGUAGUCAAAACUUCGUUCUCUCCUGAGUGGAUCCUGAGUACGGCGGAACACGUGAAAUUCCGUCGGAAUCCGGGAGGACCAUCUCCCAAGGCUAAAUACUCCCUAGUGACCGAUAGUGAACCAGUACCGUGAGGGAAAGGUGAAAAGCACCCCGGAAGGGGAGUGAAAGAGAUCCUGAAACCGUGUGCCUACAAGUAGUCAGAGCCCGUUAACGGGUGAUGGCGUGCCUUUUGUAGAAUGAACCGGCGAGUUACGAUCCCGUGCAAGGUUAAGCAGAAGAUGCGGAGCCGCAGCGAAAGCGAGUCUGAAUAGGGCGAAUUGAGUACGUGGUCGUAGACCCGAAACCAGGUGAUCUACCCAUGUCCAGGGUGAAGUUCAGGUAACACUGAAUGGAGGCCCGAACCCACGCACGUUGAAAAGUGCGGGGAUGAGGUGUGGGUAGGGGUGAAAUGCCAAUCGAACCUGGAGAUAGCUGGUUCUCUCCGAAAUAGCUUUAGGGCUAGCCUCAAGGUAAGAGUCUCGGAGGUAGAGCACUGAUUGGACUAGGGGCCCCUACCGGGUUACCGAAUUCAGUCAAACUCCGAAUGCCGAUGACUUAUCCUUGGGAGUCAGACUGCGAGUGAUAAGAUCCGUAGUCGAAAGGGAAACAGCCCAGACCGCCAGCUAAGGUCCCAAAGUAUACGUUAAGUGGAAAAGGAUGUGGAGUUGCUUAGACAACCAGGAUGUUGGCUUAGAAGCAGCCACCAUUUAAAGAGUGCGUAAUAGCUCACUGGUCGAGUGACUCUGCGCCGAAAAUGUACCGGGGCUAAACGUAUCACCGAAGCUGCGGACUGUUCUUCGAACAGUGGUAGGAGAGCGUUCUAAGGGCUGUGAAGCAAGACCGGAAGGACUUGUGGAGCGCUUAGAAGUGAGAAUGCCGGUAUGAGUAGCGAAAGAGGGGUGAGAAUCCCCUCCACCGAAUGCCUAAGGUUUCCUGAGGAAGGCUCGUCCGCUCAGGGUUAGUCGGGACCUAAGCCGAGGCCGAAAGGCGUAGGCGAUGGAUAACAGGUUGAUAUUCCUGUACCACCUCCUCACCAUUUGAGCAAUGGGGGGACGCAGGAGGAUAGGGUAAGCGCGGUAUUGGAUAUCCGCGUCCAAGCAGUUAGGCUGGGAAAUAGGCAAAUCCGUUUCCCGUGAAGGCUGAGCUGUGAUGGCGAGCGAAUUAUAGUAGCGAAGUUCCUGAUUCCACACUGCCAAGAAAAGCCUCUAGCGAGGUGAGAGGUGCCCGUACCGCAAACCGACACAGGUAGGCGAGGAGAGAAUCCUAAGGUGAUCGAGAGAACUCUCGUUAAGGAACUCGGCAAAAUGACCCCGUAACUUCGGGAGAAGGGGUGCUCUGUUAGGGUGCAAGCCCGAGAGAGCCGCAGUGAAUAGGCCCAGGCGACUGUUUAGCAAAAACACAGGUCUCUGCGAAGCCGUAAGGCGAAGUAUAGGGGCUGACGCCUGCCCGGUGCUGGAAGGUUAAGAGGAGCGCUUAGCGUAAGCGAAGGUGCGAAUUGAAGCCCCAGUAAACGGCGGCCGUAACUAUAACGGUCCUAAGGUAGCGAAAUUCCUUGUCGGGUAAGUUCCGACCCGCACGAAAGGCGCAACGAUCUGGGCACUGUCUCAACGAGAGACUCGGUGAAAUUAUAGUACCUGUGAAGAUGCAGGUUACCCGCGACAGGACGGAAAGACCCCGUGGAGCUUUACUGCAGCCUGAUAUUGAAUGUUGGUACAGCUUGUACAGGAUAGGUAGGAGCCUUGGAAACCGGAGCGCCAGCUUCGGUGGAGGCAUCGGUGGGAUACUACCCUGGCUGUAUUGACCUUCUAACCCGCCGCCCUUAUCGGGCAGGGAGACAGUGUCAGGUGGGCAGUUUGACUGGGGCGGUCGCCUCCUAAAAGGUAACGGAGGCGCCCAAAGGUUCCCUCAGAAUGGUUGGAAAUCAUUCGCAGAGUGUAAAGGCACAAGGGAGCUUGACUGCGAGACCUACAAGUCGAGCAGGGACGAAAGUCGGGCUUAGUGAUCCGGUGGUUCCGCAUGGAAGGGCCAUCGCUCAACGGAUAAAAGCUACCCCGGGGAUAACAGGCUUAUCUCCCCCAAGAGUCCACAUCGACGGGGAGGUUUGGCACCUCGAUGUCGGCUCAUCGCAUCCUGGGGCUGUAGUCGGUCCCAAGGGUUGGGCUGUUCGCCCAUUAAAGCGGUACGCGAGCUGGGUUCAGAACGUCGUGAGACAGUUCGGUCCCUAUCCGUCGCGGGCGCAGGAAAUUUGAGAGGAGCUGUCCUUAGUACGAGAGGACCGGGAUGGACGCACCGCUGGUGUACCAGUUGUUCUGCCAAGGGCAUCGCUGGGUAGCUAUGUGCGGACGGGAUAAGUGCUGAAAGCAUCUAAGCAUGAAGCCCCCCUCAAGAUGAGAUUUCCCAUUCCGCAAGGAAGUAAGAUCCCUGAAAGAUGAUCAGGUUGAUAGGUCUGAGGUGGAAGUGUGGCGACACAUGGAGCUGACAGAUACUAAUCGAUCGAGGACUUAACCAA